Molecule: ribosomal RNA, 488 nt
Filed under: uncultured bacterium
Lineage: Bacteria
Description: bacterial SSU rRNA
Rfam family: Bacterial small subunit ribosomal RNA
Source: RNAcentral
GAUGAACGCUGGCGGCGUGCUUAACACAUGCAAGUCGAACGAAGCACUUUAUUACGAUUUCUUCGGAAUGACGAUUUAGUGACUGAGUGGCGGACGGGUGAGUAACGCGUGGGUAACCUGCCUUAUACAGGGGGAUAACAGUUAGAAAUGACUGCUAAUACCGCAUAAGCGCACAGGAUUGCAUGAUCUAGUGUGAAAAACUCCGGUGGUAUAAGAUGGACCCGCGUCUGAUUAGCUGGUUGGUGAGGUAACGGCCCACCAAGGCGACGAUCAGUAGCCGACCUGAGAGGGUGACCGGCCACAUUGGGACUGAGACACGGUCCAAAACUCCUACGGGAGGCAGCAGUGGGGAAUAUUGCACAAUGGAGGGAAACUCUGAUGCAGCGACGCCGCGUGAGCGAAGAAGUAUUUCGGUAUGUAAAAGCUCUAUCAGCAGGGAAGAAGAAAUGACGGUACCUGACUAAGAAGCCCGGCUAACUACGUGCCAG